CCUACGGGCGGCAGCAGUGAGGAAUAUUGGUCAAUGGCCGUAAGGCUGAACCAGCCAAGUCGCGUGAAGGAAGAAGGAUCUAUGGUUUGUAAACUUUUUUUAUAGGGGAAUAAAGGUAGCCAAGUGUGGAUAGUUGCAGGUACCCUAUGAAUAAGCAUCGGCUAACUCCGUGCCAGCAGCCGAGGUAAUACGGAGGAUGCGAGCGUUAUCCGGAUUUAUUGGGUUUAAAGGGGGCGUAGGUUGUUGUUUAAGUAAGCGGUGAAAGUUUGUGGCUCCACCAUAAAAUUGCCGUUGAAACUGGCAGACUUGCUUUUGUUUGCGGUAGUCGGCAUGCGUGGUGUAGCGGU
This 347-nucleotide ribosomal RNA is filed under the name uncultured bacterium. RNAcentral describes it as "partial 16S ribosomal RNA". It matches the Rfam family "Bacterial small subunit ribosomal RNA", at positions 338 to 682 of the family's 1533-position model. The record is from RNAcentral.